CCUACGGGAGGCAGCAGUGGGGAAUAUUGGGCAAUGGAGGAAACUCUGAUCCAGCAAUGCCGCGUGAAUGAAGAAGGCCUUCGGAUCGUAUAGUUCUUUAGUCAGGGAAGAAGUCAAUGACGGUAGCUGAAGAAUAAGCUCCGGCGAACUACGUGCCAGCAGCCGCGGUAAUACGUAGGGGGCAAGUGUUGUUAGGAAUGACUGGGCGUAAAGGGUGCGUGGGGGGUUGUACAAGAUAGAGGGGAAAUACCCAGGGCUUAACUCGGGUGCUGCUUCUGAAACUGUAUGACUUGAGUGCAGUAGAGGUUAGUGGAAUUCCUAGUGUAGCGGUGGAAUGCGUAGAUAUUAGGAGGAACACCAGAGGCGAAGGCGGCUAACUGGACUGCAACUGACGCUGAGGCACGAAAGUGUGGGGAGCAAACAGGAUUAGAUACCCCUGUAGUC
Molecule: ribosomal RNA, 444 nt
Filed under: uncultured bacterium
Lineage: Bacteria
Description: partial 16S ribosomal RNA
Rfam family: Bacterial small subunit ribosomal RNA
Source: RNAcentral